Non-coding RNA from Tritrichomonas musculus, 72 nucleotides. Lineage: Eukaryota; Parabasalia; Tritrichomonadida; Tritrichomonadidae. The record is from the annotation of a GenBank genome assembly.
UGGCUUUUAGUAUAAUGGUUAGAAUGCGUCAUUGUCAUUGACGAGAUAGCGGUUCGAUUCCCCUAAAGCCAG